GUGAUGCGUCGGAGGCUCUGUUUACAACAUUGCAUGCGUCAUACUAAUGUAUUUGACCUCAACGCACGUUCAAAAUGUUAAAGAAUCAAGUAUUUUUAGUUUUUCAUGAAAGCAAAAUUGUCCAAAUUUUAAUUUUUGAUGCUUAAGUAAUCAUCAGCACCAUAUUUAUCAGAGAUGUAAGGGAAUGAAGGAUGCAGCACAAUAAUCACCAAGACAAAAUUGCAACACUAAAAAUGAUCUCCGUUUUCGAUCGUGUAUGGAAUAAAGGACUGUUAUACAAAUUAAAGAAAUGUUUGCCUCCUAUUUAUUACUUACUUCUAAAAUCAUAUCUAACCGAUCAGCAUUUUUAUAUUCAUUAUAAAUCCUCUUAUUCCGACAUAGUAAAUAUUAGAGCCGGCGUACCACAAGGAGGUAUAUAUUCGCUUCAGACCAACCAACUACGCCUAACACCUCUGUGACAGAUUAUGCAGAUGAUAAAUUGGUGGAUUGAAGUUCUCCUUGAAAUCUGAGGCAAACACCUUCAUACGGUCCAAGCAGCUAAAAGAAUUAAAAAAAGCAAGUUUCAAAUAAAAUACAAGAUUUAAAAAAUCCUGAUUUUACCUAAGUUUGUUUAAUGAUAAUAAUUAAUAAUUUCGUUUUAAUACUAGGUUUGACUACAACAUUUUGAUUUUAAGGUUAAUUUUUACCAAAGCUAAAAUAUAUGCUAAUAUGUUCACGUAAGUAUUACUAAGUUACCGCUCUAAAUUAAAAAUUGACUAUAACAAAAAUUAUAUAUAAUAUCUCGUAAAUAAAUUUAACAUUGCAAUAUACUUCCAAUAAAAAUAAUCAGUUUUGAAUUCGAA
Long non-coding RNA from Daktulosphaira vitifoliae (grape phylloxera), 842 nucleotides. RefSeq lists it as uncharacterized. The record is from RefSeq and is a predicted model, not a curated record. The transcript has 3 exons. NCBI's taxonomy places the organism in Eukaryota, Metazoa, Arthropoda, Insecta, Hemiptera, Phylloxeridae.